This 217-nucleotide ribosomal RNA is filed under the name uncultured bacterium. RNAcentral's name for it is "partial 16S ribosomal RNA". It matches the Rfam family "Bacterial small subunit ribosomal RNA", at positions 1276 to 1500 of the family's 1533-position model. The record is from RNAcentral.
UAAAACCCCUACUCAGUUCGGACUGGAGUCUGCAACCCGACUCCACGAAGCUGGAUUCGCUAGUAAUCGCGCAUCAGCCACGGCGCGGUGAAUACGUUCCCGGGCCUUGUACACACCGCCCGUCAAGCCAUGGGAGCCGGGGGUACCUGAAGUGCGUAACCGCGAGGAUCGCCCUAGGAUAAAACUGGUGACUGGGGCUAAGUCGUAACAAGGUACC